RNAcentral lists this ribosomal RNA (240 nucleotides) under Salmonella enterica. RNAcentral's name for it is "partial 23S ribosomal RNA". It matches the Rfam family "Bacterial large subunit ribosomal RNA", at positions 2052 to 2291 of the family's 2925-position model. Lineage: Bacteria; Pseudomonadati; Pseudomonadota; Gammaproteobacteria; Enterobacterales; Enterobacteriaceae. The record is from RNAcentral.
UGUGAAGAUGCAGUGUACCCGCGGCAAGACGGAAAGACCCCGUGAACCUUUACUAUAGCUUGACACUGAACAUUGAGCCUUGAUGUGUAGGAUAGGUGGGAGGCUUUGAAGCGUGGACGCCAGUCUGCGUGGAGCCGGCCUUGAAAUACCACCCUUUAAUGUUUGAUGUUCUAACGUGGACCCGUGAUCCGGGUUGCGGACAGUGUCUGGUGGGUAGUUUGACUGGGGCGGUCUCCUCCU